GGCCCCGUAGCUUAGUUCGGUGGAGCGCACGACUGAUAAUCGUGAGGUCCGGUGUUCAAAUCACCGCGGGGCCA
This 74-nucleotide transfer RNA is filed under the name Nanobdellota archaeon. RNAcentral describes it as "tRNA-Ile". It matches the Rfam family "tRNA". Rfam says of the family: Transfer RNA (tRNA) molecules are approximately 80 nucleotides in length. Their secondary structure includes four short double-helical elements and three loops (D, anti-codon, and T loops). Further hydrogen bonds mediate the characteristic L-shaped molecular structure. tRNAs have two regions of fundamental functional importance: the anti-codon, which is responsible for specific mRNA codon recognition, and the 3' end, to which the tRNAs corresponding amino acid is attached (by aminoacyl-tRNA synthetases). tRNAs cope with the degeneracy of the genetic code in two manners: having more than one tRNA (with a specific anti-codon) for a particular amino acid; and 'wobble' base-pairing, i.e. permitting non-standard base-pairing at the 3rd anti-codon position. The record is from RNAcentral. Lineage: Archaea; Nanobdellati; Nanobdellota.